RNAcentral lists this unclassified non-coding RNA (253 nucleotides) under plant metagenome. RNAcentral's name for it is "partial contains small subunit ribosomal RNA, internal transcribed spacer 1, and 5.8S ribosomal RNA". The stretch from base 1 to 54 matches the Rfam family "Eukaryotic small subunit ribosomal RNA", at positions 1778 to 1831 of the family's 1831-position model. The record is from RNAcentral.
GGAAGUAAAAGUCGUAACUAGGUCUCCGUUGGUGAACCAGCGGAGGGAUCAUUACAGAGUUGCAAAACUCCCAAACCAUUGUGAACGUUACCUAUCCCGUUGCUUCGGCGGGCGGCCCGGGCCCCGCGCCCGGCGCCCCCCGGCCCCCCGUGGGCGCCCGCCGGAGGUAAACCAAACCCUUGAAUUGCAUGGCCUCUCUGAGUCUUCUGUACUGAAUAAGUCAAAACUUUCAACAACGGAUCUCUUGGUUCUG